RNAcentral lists this non-coding RNA (187 nucleotides) under Clostridium sp. Its description in RNAcentral is "T-box sequence". It matches the Rfam family "T-box leader". From Rfam's summary of the family: Uncharged tRNA acts as the effector for transcription antitermination of genes in the T-box leader family. T-boxes are found upstream of many aminoacyl-tRNA synthetase genes and some amino acid biosynthetic genes usually in Gram-positive bacteria. Lineage: Bacteria; Bacillati; Bacillota; Clostridia; Eubacteriales; Clostridiaceae. The record is from RNAcentral.
UAAUGAGUGAUGAAGAAAAGUAGUAAUAAAUAUUUUACUUUAAAAGAGAGUUAGUGAUUGGUGGAAACUAAUAAGUAAAAAUUUAUGAACUUGUUUUGGAGCUUAAACGUAUUUCUUGCGUUAAAAGAAUUAAAGAGCAUAGUAAGUCUAUGAAGUAAGGUGGUACCGCGAUUUUGUCGUCCUUACA